This 483-nucleotide long non-coding RNA is filed under the name Ananas comosus (pineapple). RNAcentral's name for it is "long non-coding RNA (ACOM_LNC036932)". Lineage: Eukaryota; Viridiplantae; Streptophyta; Magnoliopsida; Poales; Bromeliaceae. The record is from RNAcentral.
CCCCAGUGGCACCACAUUAUUUAUAUUUCCAACUAAUUAGCUUCAUAUACCAUUGCUGUGGUUUCAUAUUUUCUCACUUUAAUUAGUACUUUGUGGUUUAAAAAAUAUCACUUUAGUAUUCCGUGGUUUCGUUUUUCUCUUUCCGUUAUCCCUCCAUUAAUUUUUCCGUUAUAUCAGUGAUAAAAUUAAAACCAUAAAAUACUAAAGUAAAAAUACGGUAAGCCGUAGGGUAUUCAAGUGAAUGUUCAAUAAACCAUAUGUGAGAUAUUUAAAGUUUUUAUAUAUGAUUUAAUGGAGGCGCUGAUGGAAAGAAAAAAAUAAAAUCAUGGAGUACUGAAGUGAGGUAUUUUAAACCACAUGAUACUAAAGUGAGAAAGCACAACAAUUACAUGAAUAGUAUUUUAAAUUUUUUUAAAAAAAAAAUAUUAUACUGUUUUUUUUCAGAAAAGAUAUUUGAUUUGGUUGAGAGUUGAGACACAGUGA